RNAcentral lists this ribosomal RNA (164 nucleotides) under uncultured bacterium. Its description in RNAcentral is "partial 16S ribosomal RNA". It matches the Rfam family "Bacterial small subunit ribosomal RNA", at positions 355 to 511 of the family's 1533-position model. The record is from RNAcentral.
UAGGGAAUCUUCCACAAUGGACGAAAGUCUGAUGGAGCAACGCCGCGUGAGUGAAGAAGGGUUUCAGCUCGUAAAACUCUGUUGUUAAAGAAGAACAUAUCUGAGAGUAACUGUUCAGGUAUUGACGGUAUUUAACCAGAAAGCCACGGCUAACUACGUACCAG